Molecule: small nuclear RNA, 42 nt
Filed under: Ixodes scapularis (black-legged tick)
Lineage: Eukaryota; Metazoa; Arthropoda; Arachnida; Ixodida; Ixodidae
Description: U5 spliceosomal RNA
Source: Rfam by way of RNAcentral
UAUGACGACUUAAUCUUUUGCCUUUUACUAAAGAUUACCGUA